UACGAAGGGGGCUAGCGUUGUUCGGAAUUACUGGGCGUAGAGCACGUGUAGGCGGUUCGGUAAGUCGGGUGUGAAAGCCCGGAGCUCAACUCCGGAAUUGCAUUCGAAACUGCCGGGCUAGAGUCUCGGAGGGGAGGGCAGAAUUCCCAGUGUAGGGGUGAAAUCCGUAGAUAUUAGGAGGAAUACCAGCGGCGAAGGCGGCCCUCUGGACGAUGACUGACGCUCAGACGCGAAAGCGUGGGGAGCAAACAGG
This 253-nucleotide ribosomal RNA is filed under the name uncultured bacterium. RNAcentral's name for it is "partial 16S ribosomal RNA". It matches the Rfam family "Bacterial small subunit ribosomal RNA", at positions 524 to 776 of the family's 1533-position model. The record is from RNAcentral.